AAUAGUUUCUUUGGUGGUGACUUACUACAUGGAUAACCGUAGUAAUUCUAGAGCUAAUACAUGCGUAAAUCUCGACUCACGAAGAGACGUAUUUAUUAGAUAAAGACCGACCUCGUUCUGCGGUGAAUCAUAAUAACUUCACGGACCGCAUGGCUUCAUGCCGGCGGUGUUCCAUUCAAAUUUCUGCCCUAUCAACUUUCGACGGUAGGAUAGAGGCCUACCGUGGUGUUCAUGGGUGACGGAGAAUUAGGGUUCGAUUCCGGAGAGGGAGCCUGAGAAACGGCUACCACA
Molecule: ribosomal RNA, 291 nt
Filed under: uncultured eukaryote
Lineage: Eukaryota
Description: partial 18S rRNA
Rfam family: Eukaryotic small subunit ribosomal RNA
Source: RNAcentral